Molecule: non-coding RNA, 43 nt
Organism: Schistosoma rodhaini
Lineage: Eukaryota; Metazoa; Platyhelminthes; Trematoda; Strigeidida; Schistosomatidae
Source: Rfam
CUGCUGAGGAGUCCCAUAAUAGGACGAAACGGCCGUCCAGUGC